RNAcentral lists this unclassified non-coding RNA (315 nucleotides) under Hevea brasiliensis (rubber tree). Lineage: Eukaryota; Viridiplantae; Streptophyta; Magnoliopsida; Malpighiales; Euphorbiaceae. The record is from RNAcentral.
GACCAAUGGAGCCUCAGGAGAAUCACUUACUGCGAACUUGUCAUGCAUGAAACGACUGUCAACAAUAGAGUCAUCCUUGAGGACUAUCUUAUAGCAGUAACAGCUCUUCAGGCCAUCCUGAUUUCGGUAGCACUCAUGUGCGCCAUUUUUCACCUGCUGGAAAUUCCAAAUCACACUAAACCUGCCCACUGUAGCAACCAAAUGGCGCUCCUGCUUCCCAUUCUCUGUGACCCACGAAAAUUGAGCAUUGCGGAACUUAUUAUUAAUACCAGCUAAAUGUGAAUCUAAAGGAGUUAACUUCAACAAUCUGGGUGC